UGGGGAAUCUUGGACAAUGGGGGCAACCCUGAUCCAGCCAUGCCGCGUGAGUGAUGAAGGCCUUAGGGUCGUAAAGCUCUUUCGCCUGUGAAGAUAAUGACGGUAGCAGGUAAAGAAACCCCGGCUAACUCCGUGCCAGCAGCCGCGGUAAUACGGAGGGGGUUAGCGUUGUUCGGAAUUACUGGGCGUAAAGCGCACGUAGGCGGAUCGGAAAGUUGGGGGUGAAAUCCCGGGGGCUCAACCCCGGAACUGCCUCCAAAACUAUUGGUCUAGAGUUCGAGAGAGGUGAGUGGAAUUCCAAGUGUAGAGGUGAAAUUCGUAGAUAUUUGGAGGAACACCAGUGGCGAAGGCGGCUCACUGGCUCGAUACUGACGCUGAGGUGCGAAAGUGUGGGGAGCAAACAGGAUUAGAUACCCUGGUAGUCCACACCGUAAAACGAUGAAUGCCAGUCGUCGGGUAGCAUGCUAUUCGGUGACACACCUAACGGAUUAAGCAUUCCGGCCUGGGGAGUACGGUCGCAAGAUU
This 525-nucleotide ribosomal RNA is filed under the name uncultured bacterium. Its description in RNAcentral is "bacterial SSU rRNA". It matches the Rfam family "Bacterial small subunit ribosomal RNA", at positions 355 to 895 of the family's 1533-position model. The record is from RNAcentral.